Molecule: long non-coding RNA, 1724 nt
Filed under: Panax ginseng (ginseng)
Lineage: Eukaryota; Viridiplantae; Streptophyta; Magnoliopsida; Apiales; Araliaceae
Description: long non-coding RNA (PGIN_LNC003895)
Source: RNAcentral
UUGUGCAAUGCUUGGGAUUCAGUCUCAGAGAAACACAAUUAUCUGUGUCAUUCAAAAUAUCAAUAGGUUAGCUACUUAAUAUCAUUAGUGAAUCCUAAAAAAUUGUUCUUGCUUUAUAGAGCUAUUUUGAGAAGGCAUUUGAAUUUUUCAAGAAAGCAGUAGAUGAGGUACGUCUUUUUCUUAGUUAUUUUUUAAAUUUGUAAUAAAUUAACUCUUGUUUAUCAUUAUGCGUUAGAGCCUAACUGAACUUUACGGUUUAUACGUUACUCUUCUAGAGUCUAGGGAAUGAGCUAUAUUUGAAGUCCUUGGAAGCCACUGCCAAGGUAUUGUUGUCAGUCCUUUGGCCUAUUCUAUACUCAUUUUUGUUAUAUUUGGUUUGUUCCCUAUGGAAAUUGGAGGUCCAUCUAAUUUGAUGUUAUGGAGUCUUGAUGUGUUGGAAUAUGACUCCGGGGUUGGGUAUACAUAACCGAGAUAUAGUAGCUUUUUCAUAACUUUUACACUCCAGGUAGAGCAAGGUUGGUGUGCAAGUAAUUUUCAAUCAUGGAAAGGAUGAAGGUUUUGCGGAUAAGAGAGGGGGCUCGAAAAAGGGGAUUAUGAGUGCUGACUUUCCAUAUGGUUUGACUCACAUUGGCUACUUCAUAUUGAUUAAAAUAGGUAGCAAAUUUGAAAUCAUGUUGAGGUUAAAUCCUUGAGUUUCACUAGCUUAGUUCAGGUUAAAUGUUCUGGGUGAUAUUAGGUGGCCAAAGUUACCGCUGUCACUUGUUAUUGAUGUAAUGAAAAUCAAUUCGAGGAACCAAUUUGUGGAAAUAUUUUACUUGACAACUGAGAGGCAAAGCUAUUAGCUUGUAUGUCAGCUGAGAGGCAAAGCUAGAUCAUAAUCUCUAAUUAAUUGGUGCACUCUUUAUUAUUCUUGAGAAAUAGAAGCACUGGCAUGGUGAGUAUCCUGAUAAACACCUAUGGGUUUAAAAUUCUGUAGAGAACUACUAAUCUAAUUUGAGCUAUGGUUGCACCUCAAAUCAGAUGACUACACCUGAUUGCCAAUACAUGCUCUUAUAAAUGUUGAGUAAUUAAAUAAAACAUAUGCGGCAGCUUGCUUCUUUACUGACAAGAACAAAUAACCACAAGACACAGAGCCGUCCAACAUCAGCUCCCAAAUUACUGCUUUGUUUUACAAAACUGACCUGCUUUUUACGUGGUUAACAUAUGAGAUGUGAAAUAUGUGUUAACAUUUUACGUGUUAACAUAUAUUUCACAUCAGUAUAGCAGUAUAGCAGGUUAGGGAUAUGUGUUAUAUUUCAUAUUUCAUGUACAACCAACAUAUAUUUCACAUCAGUACACCAUCUUGCUCCUUAAAUAUGUGUUAACAUUUUACGUGGUUAGGAAUUAUGUUAAAAGUCAUUCAUGUGAUUGGUCAGUUAUCUUGCCAUACAUCAGUAUAGCAGGUCAGAUUUGGUAUCCUUGUGAUUUGGUAUCUUUGUUGAAUACUAAAUUUGUUGUUCUUUUAUUUCAGUGGGAUAAGGCAUGUGGAUUAACGUACACACAAGAACAAAUUGACGAAGUACGGGAUGAGUGGGCAAUAUACAUGAGCAGCUAUACGUAGAGCCUCGAGUUAACGGUGAAUAUGUUAGAUGAAUGUACGUAUUUUGGGAGAACUAGGCUUUUUUGCACAUGCUUAGGUAGUAGCUUAAUUUUAUGGAUAGUAUGGUUUAUUUUGUGGAUGCAUG